This 528-nucleotide ribosomal RNA is filed under the name Colletotrichum caudatum. RNAcentral describes it as "partial large subunit ribosomal RNA". It matches the Rfam family "Eukaryotic large subunit ribosomal RNA", at positions 71 to 625 of the family's 3401-position model. The record is from RNAcentral. Lineage: Eukaryota; Fungi; Ascomycota; Sordariomycetes; Glomerellales; Glomerellaceae.
GGGAUUGCCCCAGUAACGGCGAGUGAAGCGGCAACAGCUCAAAUUUGAAAUCUGGCCCCGGCCCGAGUUGUAAUUUGCAGAGGAUGCUUUUGGCGCGGUGCCUUCCGAGUUCCCUGGAACGGGACGCCAUAGAGGGUGAGAGCCCCGUACGGUUGGACACCAAGCCUUUGUAAAGCUCCUUCGACGAGUCGAGUAGUUUGGGAAUGCUGCUCAAAAUGGGAGGUAUAUUUCUUCUAAAGCUAAAUAUUGGCCAGAGACCGAUAGCGCACAAGUAGAGUGAUCGAAAGAUGAAAAGCACUUUGAAAAGAGGGUUAAACAGCACGUGAAAUUGUUAAAAGGGAAGCGCUUGUGACCAGACUUGCGCCCGGUGAAUCACCCAGCUCUCGCGGCUGGGGCACUUCGCCGGCACAGGCCAGCAUCAGCUCGCCGUCGGGGACAAAAGCUUGGGGAACGUAGCUCUCUUCGGGGAGUGUUAUAGCCCCUUGCACAAUACCCUUCGGCGGGCUGAGGUACGCGUUCGCAAGGAUG